Molecule: ribosomal RNA, 408 nt
Filed under: uncultured bacterium
Lineage: Bacteria
Description: bacterial SSU rRNA
Rfam family: Bacterial small subunit ribosomal RNA
Source: RNAcentral
CAGCAGCCGCGGUAAUACGUAGGGUGCGAGCGUUAAUCGGAAUUACUGGGCGUAAAGCGUGCGCAGGCGGUUUUGUAAGCCAGAUGUGAAAUCCCCGGGCUUAACCUGGGAAUGGCAUUUGGGACUGCAAGGCUAGAGUAUGGCAGAGGGGACUAGAAUUCCUGGUGUAGCAGUGAAAUGCGUAGAUAUCAGGAGGAAUACCGAUGGCGAAGGCAGGUCCCUGGGUUAAUACUGACGCUCAUGCACGAAAGCGUGGGGAGCAAACAGGAUUAGAUACCCUGGUAGUCCACGCCCUAAACGAUGUCAACUGGUUGUUGGGGGUUUGACACUCUCAGUAGCGAAGCUAACGCGUGAAGUUGACCGCCUGGGGAGUACGGCCGCAAGGUUAAAACUCAAAGGAAUUGACGG